CCAGGGCCGCCGCUUCGCGGCCUCCGGACGACGGUUCAGUACCCGGCACGCGACAAGACUGGCCAAA
Molecule: non-coding RNA, 67 nt
Filed under: Arthrobacter sp.
Lineage: Bacteria; Bacillati; Actinomycetota; Actinomycetes; Micrococcales; Micrococcaceae
Source: RNAcentral